AUGAACGCUGGCGGCGUGCUUAACACAUGCAAGUCGAACGAUGAAGCCCAGCUUGCUGGGUGGAUUAGUGGCGAACGGGUGAGUAACACGUGAGUAACCUGCCCUUAACUCUGGGAUAAGCCUGGGAAACUGGGUCUAAUACCGGAUAGGAGCGCCUACCGCAUGGUGGGUGUUGGAAAGAUUUAUCGGUUUUGGAUGGACUCGCGGCCUAUCAGCUUGUUGGUGAGGCAAUGGCUCACCAAGGCGACGACGGGUAGCCGGCCUGAGAGGGUGACCGGCCACACUGGGACUGAGACACGGCCCAGACUCCUACGGGAGGCAGCAGUGGGGAAUAUUGCACAAUGGGCGAAAGCCUGAUGCAGCGACGCCGCGUGAGGGAUGACGGCCUUCGGGUUGUAAACCUCUUUCAGUAGGGAAGAAGCGAAAGUGACGGUACCUGCAGAAGAAGCACCGGCUAACUACGUG
This 465-nucleotide ribosomal RNA is filed under the name uncultured bacterium. RNAcentral describes it as "partial 16S ribosomal RNA". It matches the Rfam family "Bacterial small subunit ribosomal RNA", at positions 29 to 507 of the family's 1533-position model. The record is from RNAcentral.